CUGAUUUGAAAGAGAAAAUACAUCAUUGAUUAGCCAGUACUCAUAUGUGGAGGAUUUUUUUUUUGUAUGAAGGACAAUUCCAAUUAAUUGAUAUAUCGACGUGAUACUAUUGAACUGAGCAAAUGCCCGGCCUCUGCAUAUUACACAUGAGCAAUGCUACAUCUACGUAAUUACUUUACGUGUUUUAUGUAACAGCAAACGUGGCAAGUGAGGAUUGGGGAUGGGAAGAGGAAGGGGCCCACCCCCAUUAAAAUCAGGGGGGAGAGAGGUUUAGAUUAGGAAGUUUACGUAACUUUACGUAGUUGUUUAAGUAGGUGUAGUAUUAUUGAUUACACAUACAACUCGUUCAACACAAUAACAAAAAAAUUACAACAACAAAAAAAGGCAACCUAAGAUGAGGUAGAUUCUAUCUGAAGAGUAUACCGUCAUCCAUGAUGGGAGAAAAACUUUCUGACCCUAUGCUCCAGCCGGAUUGACGUUAUCAUAACUAGGAAAAUUGCCCGUGCGUUGCAACGGGAGAUCCAACUAUAAAGUACUAUCAUGAUAGCGAGAAUGGGCAAAAAAGAAAACAUGAAAUGAUUGCAUAUCAUUUUUUUUCUUCGUAUCUGCGUCCUGGUUGUCAGCUUUUAGGCAUGCAUGCGUCAUCGCCUAAGAUCUUGAUAGUAAUCCGCCUUAGCUCCAUCAUGAAGCCCGGACGUUCGGCUUCACCGUAAUGGAUCGGCAAGGCAUGAUAGCUUCGGUGAGCGCAUGGCCUACAGGAUGCCAAACACGGUUGCGAAGGUCUUCGAGGCCUCGGCCAGCCACCCAAUGUGCAUCCUGGGCUCCAAGUCUUGCUAUACCCAAUAAUUCACCUUAGGGGAGCACGCAUCGGCACGAGGUGUGAAUCCAUGGCGAGGCCCAGCUGCCUGAGCAUCCAGUCUAAAAGGCCCCCCACUCAGUGUCAGUUUGGGGUGGCAGGCAGCUGAUGUCUCCACCAUCUUGGGAAAUAUGCAUAUGUGUUGCAAGGGUAGGAAAAAAAUCCCUUCAGCCAUCCGUUUUAGUCCCUACAAACUACACGAUCAUAAAUUGCCGCCUCAAACCGCACCUCCACUGUCCAAGGUUUUGACUACCAAAUUCUACCGAGGGGGGAUGCGGUUAGAGCAACUCUAGCAGACCCCGCAUCCCGCCCCGGCCCGCAAAAUAACCGCCAAAUUGCGGUCGGGGCCGGAAAAUCUGCACGAUCAGACCCCGCAUCCCGCCCGGCCCGCAAAUAUUUUUGCGGGGCGCGGCAAAUCUUCUCCCCCAAUUUCUAUCUUCACGGGCUGGGAGGCCGACCCGAGCUCAACCCCUAUCCGCCGCGAGAUUUGGCGGGAGGGACAUUUCCGCGCGCCCUUUCCCGCUCCCCGCACCCUCCGCCACCAUUCCCCCCUUCCGCAAGCUCCGGUUCCUCCUCCCCGGCCGUCCCUCGCCGCCAUGAACGACCCCAUGCUGUCCCCCGUCACCGUCGAGGUCGCGCAUGCUCCUUCCCCUCGGGCGGAUCUCGUCGCCGGCCAUGUUGGCCCCGCCGCCGUCGCCCAAGCACACGCCGCGCCUGCCUGCAAGCGGCAGGGCAACGUGGUCGUGCAGGGCGGGAAUCCGGCUGCCCCCGCCGCGAUGGCCCGCGCUCCGGGCGCCAACGCGGCAACGCGAUCCUGGCUGGCGGCGGAGAAGGUCGCCAAUGCCGCAGGCGUACAGCGGAGGAAGGUUCCGGAUUCAAAGAAGCCNNNNNNNNNNNNNNNNNNNNNNNNNNNNNNNNNNNNNNNNNNNNNNNNNNNNNNNNNNNNNNNNNNNNNNNNNNNNNNNNNNNNNNNNNNNNNNNNNNNNNNNNNNNNNNNNNNNNNNNNNNNNNNNNNNNNNNNNNNNNNNNNNNNNNNNNNNNNNNNNNNNNNNNNNNNNNNNNNNNNNNNNNNNNNNNNNNNNNNNNNNNNNNNNNNNNNNNNNNNNNNNNNNNNNNNNNNNNNNNNNNNNNNNCCCCCCACGAGCGAGGUGUUCGACAAAAUGGCCGGAAGGUAUGCGUCUUCGGUCUUUGCGAUUUCCUUUCAUUUCCGCCAUUAUUCUCGAUAACUCGUGACUUGUUAUCGUUCGCUAUAGCGGUGGUUCGAACAAUGCAACAACCGAGUUCGUGAACUUGUUGGACAUGAAAGCGGUUGACAUUGAUCAAGCCCCUUUCGAACCGUUCGACUACAAUGAAACGGUGGGCGGCGUGGAUGAUCAUGGUUGUGCGGACGAAUUGGAGGAGAUCGAAGCGGAAGCGUAUGAGCAAUCACAAGCAAAAACUGGGAAACGCCAAAGAUCGAAGAACUACACGAUCUUGGAAGAUCAAGCUUUGAUCCAGGCAUGGAGUGCGGUGUCUCUUGAUGCAUGCACAGGUACUUCUCAAACCGCCAAGAGAUAUUGGCAAAGGAUCGAAGAUUAAUACUUCCGCAUUAUGGCAAAGCAUCCCAAUAGGACUCCACGCACAUUUCGGUCGCUUCAAGGGCGUUGGGAGAAUAUCAAGCCUAUGUGCAGCCGUUGGGCAGCUUGCUUGGAGCAAGUACGCAAUGCACCUCCAAGUGGCACCGUGGACUCCGACUAUGUGAGUUUGUUUUGCCUUUGUUCGAGUUGUGCAUCAUCAUAUUGCAUCAUGGGAAUGAUUGGAUCACUUUGUUCACAUUGUGUAGGACAAGAUUGCUCAACAUAGAUACAAGGACAUGGAAGCUUCGGAAGGCAGAUUCUUCAAACUAGAGCAUUUUUGGGAGUUGCUCCAAUAGUGCGAGAAGUGGAAGUUGAUCGACAAAGAAUCCCCACCAAAGCGAGGCUCACUUACAAACAUGGAUGAAGAUGAGGAUGAUGAUGGCCCAAGAAAUUUGCACAAGCCCGAUGACGACAAGAAGACUAAGGAGAAGAUGAAGAGAGAGCAAGAAGCAUCGAGCUUGAGGGAGAAGAUUGAUGCCAUGGUGCAAUCCAACGAGUCGAUGUUGUUGAAGUCGUUGGAGAUCAAGAAAGAAUUGGCCGAGAAGAAGGCAAAGGAGAAGCAAGAAAAGUGGCAAUUGCUCAAGGAAGAGGGGCUGCGCAAAGCUGCCAUCGAGGAGAGAAGAGCACGCGUCGCUGAAAACAAAUCCAUGUCCAUGUUGCUCGCCGAAGAGAACAAGAUCAUGUCAAUGAACCGCAAUGACAUGGACGACCUCACCAAAACAUGGCAUGAUAUGGCAAGGAGAGAAAUCUUGAAGAGGAGAAUGGUCGCAUCGGCCGGUCCGUGUUACAGUUCUGAUGAUGUUUUCUCUGCUCCAUAUGGUGGCAAUGUGGAUGAUUUCGGUGCGGGAGUUGGAACAAGCGCCAGAGGUGGAUUCGGUGGCGCCGAUGAACUUCAAGAUGGACUCGAUGGCGCGGAGUGAAGAUUGACCAAGAUGAUGCCGGACAUGGGCGCAAACCUUUGCAGGGCCCUCUUUUGCGUUUGUCGUAAUGAACUUGGCUUUUAUUUGCGCGUAAAACUAUUUAUGUCGUUUGAAUUUGAACUUGUUUGUGAAACCCUAUGUCAAAUGCGAGAUUUGCAGUUUUUCUGUUUGCGGGUCGUCACGGUGGUGCCCGAGCAGAACCCGCAGAAGGGGACCCGUAAAAAAACAUAUUCCGCGAAUAUACUUUUUUACGGAUCCGUUUGGGGGGUCUGCAUCUGUGCCAGCCCGCGCCGGCCCGCAAAAACGGUUCUGCGCGAACUGGAAACACGUUUUGCUGGCCGGCGGGAUGCGGGGUCUGCUAGAGUUGCUCUUGCCACGGUUACCGACAAAUACCGAGCGGUUACUAUUCAAAAUAUUUAAAUGAAUUUCAAAUUCAAAUUUAUAUAAGCUACGUAUACAUAUGUUUUAUAGUCAUUUAGCCAUAAAAUUUGGUAGUGUCACAGUGGUCAUCUUCGCGCCUGCGUUUGAAGGCUGAGGUGGAGAGUUUGAUCCCUACAUGGGCAGUUUUAAUUUUACAAUAUAUUAUAUAUUUUAUUUUUCACAAAUUCAGUGCAAAAAAAUGCAACCGCGAGAGUUGAAUGCGAGACGUUUGUCUAAAUGCUUAGUACCUUCCAUGAAAUAUAAUACUCCACAGAUCCAUGGGAGCUCCGCAGUCCGACAGAGGGAGUAGUUGCUGCUUUAAUUAACAAUACAUGUAGCGUUCAAAUUCAAAUUUUUGAAUAUUUUUGCUGAAAACGCCACAGAUCCAUGGGAGCUCCGCAGUCCGCCAGAAUCCUCACAUCCCCUGUGUCACACCGUCAGUCAGCAACAAUCCUCACCAUUGAUUGAUCUGAUUGGCACGCAUGUGCUUCAGCAAAGCACACACAUCGGCAAGGAAAUAUACAUAUUGUAGUACAGAGGGUGUCAAAGAAAGCAUACGUAAACUCUAGUACAGAGGGUGUUAAUAAAAACUAAGCCAUGCUGACUCACUGGAAAAAGCAUGACCAUGAAAAAAUAUUUUUUUUUAGAAAAGGAUGAAAAUAUAGUUAAGAAUGGAAUACUUUUGCAUCCCAUGUACUCCUCUUGACAAAAAGCAUCUACUCAUCUGCAGAAGCUAAUGAUAGUUGCAUCAGCACAAAAUUGAUACUAAUGACGAUGGACAUGUUAUGCAGUUUAGAACUUGGAUUAGCUGCACAUUUAUACAAAAGCCAUGCAUACUGUAUGAGAGUUCGCAGACGCUGCUCUUUGAGGCUGCAAGCAAAUUUAGUUUAUUGAAACGGAAAGUUUGUGCUAAAAUUCAUCAAUAGGUUUUUUAACACGGGCUUUACCUAGCAGCGGACGAGCCUGACGAUAAACAGCUACUAUAGGAGAUCAUCCUUGCACAGAGUCGUAGCACUCUUAGUCCUGCUCUAGCCUUGACAUACCCACCAAUACUGCUUCACGCCUCACGUCGUUGGAAGCCAGCGCGCACACCUUGCCGUCGCCCCUAGCGCCAGGGCCGGUGACUGGAUUCGUCCAUGAAGUUGGGCAUCUCUGCAACGUGUAGUCACCGCCGCCAACAAAUUUUCAGGGCAAAAACUCUAACUCCCUACUACAGCCGGACUCGCGCCAUCACCCACACCCAGGGGCAUGUGCUCGCGCCCGAUGCCCAUGGCCCGCACCCAUGCGCCGUCCGCGGUGGCCUCCUUCCUCCGGCCGCACUCCCCUCUCUUUUAAGACCGUGGUCUCCUCCGUCACCUCUCUCCUUCGACGCUACGAGCUCUGCUCGCAUCCGCCAUGGCGCCCGCUGCCUCCAUUGCUCGCCUCGGCACCACGCCACCACUCCACCGGGCUGCUUCGCCCCGUCGCACCCGGUUCUCCCUUCCCUUUACGGCGGAACCGGGAGCUCGCGCGCCAUGCCCCACUGUUUUGCUGCAGUAGCGCUACCCGAGGGCCUCACCUUCACCUCCACCAUCUGGCUGCUCCAGCAACACGCCCACCACCAUCUAGGUGGCAAAGGUUCUUACGUUGGCACAUGCAAAGCCCGUCGUCCUCGUAUUGCGCCGACCGCUUAUUGACAUAUAUAAAUCGGUAGCAAAGUGUGUAUAAAAGCGAGACGGAACUAUUUAAUAGGCAACAUGAUUGUUACUUAAACACACAACAGUGGACAGGUCAUCUCGUGCUUCAUGUGCUGCAUUGCAUGAGAGGUUGCGAGUUUGAUCCCUCUCCCUGAUGCCUUUUUUUUUACUGGGCCGGCUGCCACCUUAUGCGAGAAAACUCUGUUGUGACCUCGCGAGAGGAUUAGUACCACCUCACGAGAGAAAACUCGUUUUUCGCCUUUUAAAUCUCAGCCGUUGAUUUUUAUAGUUGACAUAUAAUUGAUGGAUAUAAAACUGUGACAUAUGGAGAACUAUGAAAGCUUCCGUCCUUUAUUAUUAGGUAAAGAAAAGGUCUACGUCCUCUAGUCUCCGUAGGAUAGACCAAAUACGAAGCCAUCACGUAUUGAAAGCACAUUUGCUUUCUUGGUGGUUUGGUAAUUCAUGUCAACAUACAUAUUGUUGGACUCCACCUUAUGCGAGAAAACUCUGCUGUGACCUCGCGAGAGGAUUAGUACCACCUCGCGAGAGAAAACUCGUUUUUCGCCUUUUAAAUCUCAGCCGUUGAUUUUUAUAGUUGACAUAUAAUUGACGGAUAUAAAACUGUGACGUAUGGAGAACUAUGAAAGCUUCCGUCCUUUAUUAUUAGGUAAAGAAAAGGUCUAUGUCCUCUCGUCUCCGUAGGAUAGACCAAAUACGAAGCCAUCACGUAUUGAAAGCACAUUUGCUUUCUUGGUGGUUUGGUAAUUCAUGUCAACAUACAUAUUGUUGGACUAAUGUUUUCAACUUUCUUGCCAGUAAUGACGGGACGUGGGCUGGCGACGCCUCAAUAACUAGAGUGCAAAGCUCGAGAUGAGGUUCCCCGAAACUAUGAAGUCACGGUAUCCCGGGCAGGUGGAUCUCAAGGCACGACACUCCAAAACAAUGAAGAACAUGCAGGUGGACAUACAACCUCAUGCCACAAAGGCCACAGGAUAAAUGGAGCACGCUGGGAAGCCCGAGCCCUCGGAGCCCCCUGCUGGUCAUUCUGAACUCAUAAAGGUGUCGUCCCACAUAUCGUGCACUCGGUAGGCCCGAAAACCCCUUGUCGUUGGACUCAUGAAGACACACCUAGGUUGUUGAGGAGCCCGCCCGCGUUUUCAUUCCUGAAGAUGACAAGAUUCCAACUCCGGACACGCUCGGCGCCUACUGAUGGUGUAAUACACCCGGGAUGGCCUCUCCAUGGGAAGCCCGGCAGCAGGCGUGCCCCAAGGUCCAGGGUGCUCGAUGAAGACCCAGCAUCAAGGGGGGUCUAGAGGCUCACGUAGAGAUCAAGAGAUCAUCUUGGCGUGCAAGCCAUGAUGGUGGCAGCGUGAGGUCGGUUAAACCCCCAAUGUAAACCCUAGCCCCCAUCGUCUAUAUAGGCGGGGCUAGGGGUAACCAUUCUAAUCUACAACAUAGAUUGUAGUCUCGGUAGCCAUAUUCUUUUCUCCAUUGUAACCCCCUCGCACGAGGCGCACCACCAUGAAUACAAAUCAAAAGCAUGAUGUAGGGUAUUACCUCAAUACAAGGGCUGAACCUGGGUAACCCCCUUGUGCAACCUCCGCUCUGGCACUUCUGGCCGCGUUCGCCACCCUACCAAGGGUAUUGACGGUUUUCUCUACUGUCAUCAUUCUUCCCAACAACUUCUUCACCUUCAUCAUCCAAUCAAUGGAUUGAUUGGAUUUUGAACCAUCAUUUUUCUUCAACCUUUUGUUGCCAGCUUUAAGGUCUUCCGCAAGUUAAUUUCACUUUGGUUGGCCAUUCAAUUUCAUCCAACGAUAAUGGCUAAAACCGAAUUGUUUCUUCUCGGUUUGUUGGUACAAAGUGUCCGCCAACACCAUCCAUCAAACAAUAAAGUUAGCCGAUAUAAAAACUAGCAAUGACGAAACGAAGCAAUUCAACUUACGUGACUUUGGACUCUAAUCCCACUUUGAUUCUGGCCAAGCACGAAAGCAUAGUGGCCGACAAACUUGUUCAAGUUGUCUUGGAUGACGGCCAUCUAUGCUGGAGAGAGGCCACAUUGCAUGUGGUAUUGAUAGGAUGCGGCACCACAUAUUCCUUCUUUUCAUGAUAGUGUUUGUGGAUCUUCUCCUAAUACUUGUUGCCCUCUUGCUCUGUGCCACGUAUAGGGUCCAUGAUUGUGGCCAACCAAGAUUUAACCAACAAAACAUCCUCAAAUGUUGUGAAUAUUGGACCUCUUGCCUUGGGUAUCUUUGUCGUUCUUUUCUUGUUAGCGCACGAUGUUCUCCCAACAUCAAACGUAGGACAAUUUGGAUCCCGCAACAUCAAACGCGGGCGUCCUUGAAAUCCUUGGCUACCACUUCCCACUCGCGUUGCUUCCUUCGCCGCUCCCUCCGGACGACGUUCUUUGCCUUGCAGCUCGUCGCCACGGAUGGGAGCCCCACAAACGACUCUGAGGCAACAUCCAUGGCGGCGGGUGGCAACAUCAUCUAGGGUGACACAGAUGAUAGAGGACGGCGAGGGCUCGGACGCAGAAAAUGAAGGAUGAACGCAGGAGGAGGGCGUUGGAUUUUGACGGACUUGGUUAAUUUGUGGUGGCACCAGUCUGUCUGGUCCGAUGUGACGAACACGCACGGAUGGGUCCAGGCAUCCUCAUAUUCAUUCUAGACAUGGGUUGGAUAUGUGGGUGCUGGUUGGCCUAGACGUAUAAAGCCAAUUUGAGAAGGCCGACUGGGUCACAAUUUUAUGUCCGGUCACUGACCGAGCUUUCGAGGCUGCCACGUAUAAAGGCGUUUGAGGAGGCCGGACGUAGAUGCUCUGAAGUGAAACUGUUUUCUAAGGACCGACGAAAUAUCUCACCACAACCCCAAAUUCAGGCACCAAAAUGAGUUCGAACAAGUACUCCCUCCGUUCCUAAAUAUAAGUCUUUUUAGAGGUUUUAAAUGGACUACAACAUACGGAUGUAUGUAGACAUAUUUUAGAUUGUAGAUUCACUCAUUUUGCUUCGUAUGUAAUCCCUUGUUGGAAUCUCUAAAAAGACUUAUAUUUAGAAACGGAGGGAGUAGAUAAAAAGAAAACUACAGGCAAAGGCAGACACAGUGGAAACCAUAAAACCUGUAUAUGAACAAUCUGGUUAAAUACGAGCGAAUACAGCUAAUAAUGCGGAUCAAUUUGCUAACGCUCAAUCGAUUCAUAGUGCACAGUGAUCAAUUUGCUAAUGCUUAACAUCUGGUCAAAUACGAGAGAAUACAGCUUCACGCGGAUCUUUGAAUAACUGGAGAUACAUAUUAAAACCAAAAUCAGAUCUCGCGAAAUUAGACUCAGACUUGAGAUGAACUCGUUGAUGCAAGAAGGCUACCAGAUCUCGCGCAGGC
RNAcentral lists this long non-coding RNA (8862 nucleotides) under Triticum aestivum (bread wheat). RNAcentral's name for it is "long non-coding RNA (TAES_LNC000516)". The record is from RNAcentral. Lineage: Eukaryota; Viridiplantae; Streptophyta; Magnoliopsida; Poales; Poaceae.